CGCGUAGGUGGUUCAGUCAGUCAGGUGUGAAAGCCCCGGGCUCAACCUGGGAACUGCACCUGAUACUGCUGAGCUAGAGUACGGUAGAGGGCAGUGGAAUUUCCGGUGUAGCGGUGAAAUGCGUAGAGAUCGGAAGGAACACCAGUGGCGAAGGCGACUGCCCGGACUGAUACUGACACUGAGGUGCGAAAGCGUGGGUAGCAAACA
RNAcentral lists this ribosomal RNA (207 nucleotides) under uncultured bacterium. Its description in RNAcentral is "partial 16S ribosomal RNA". It matches the Rfam family "Bacterial small subunit ribosomal RNA", at positions 568 to 774 of the family's 1533-position model. The record is from RNAcentral.